This 468-nucleotide ribosomal RNA is filed under the name uncultured bacterium. RNAcentral's name for it is "partial 16S ribosomal RNA". It matches the Rfam family "Bacterial small subunit ribosomal RNA", at positions 28 to 507 of the family's 1533-position model. The record is from RNAcentral.
GACGAACGCUGGCGGCGUGCUUAGCACAUGCAAGUCGAACGGAAAGGCCCUGCUUUUGUGGGGUGCUCGAGUGGCGAACGGGUGAGUAACACGUGAGUAACCUGCCCUUGACUUUGGGAUAACUUCAGGAAACUGGGGCUAAUACCGGAUAGGAGCUCCUGCUGCAUGGUGGGGGUUGGAAAGUUUCGGCGGUUGGGGAUGGACUCGCGGCUUAUCAGCUUGUUGGUGGGGUAGUGGCUUACCAAGUCUUUGACGGGUAGCCGGCCUGGGAGGGUGGCCGGCCACAUGGGGCCUGAGGGAGGGCCCAGUAUCCAACCGGAGGCAGCAGUGGGGAAUAUUGCACAAUGGCCGGGCGCCUGAGGCGACGGCGCCGCGUGCGGGAAAACGUCUUUCGAGUGAAAAACCAAUUUCGACGGUGACGAAGCGGGAGUGACGGUAAUGAAUAAAGAAGCAACGGCUAACUACGUG